RNAcentral lists this ribosomal RNA (468 nucleotides) under uncultured bacterium. RNAcentral's name for it is "partial 16S ribosomal RNA". It matches the Rfam family "Bacterial small subunit ribosomal RNA", at positions 28 to 507 of the family's 1533-position model. The record is from RNAcentral.
GACGAACGCUGGCGGCGUGCUUAACACAUGCAAGUCGAACGGAAAGGCCCUGCUUUUGUGGGGUGCUCGAGUGGCGAACGGGUGAGUAACACGUGAGUAACCUGCCCUUGACUUUGGGAUAACUUCAGGAAACUGGGGCUAAUACCGGAUAGGAGCUCCUGCUGCAUGGUGGGGGUUGGAAAGUUUCGGCGGUUGGGGAUGGACUCGCGGCUUAUCAGCUUGUUUGUGGGGUAGUGGCUUACCAAGGCUUUGACGGGUAGCCGGCCUGAGAGGGUGACCGGCAACAUUGGGACUGAGAUACGGCCCAGACUCCUACGGGAGGCAGCAGUGGGGAAUAUUGCACAAUGGGCGGAAGCCUGAUGCAGGAACGCCGCGUGCGGGAUGACGGCCUUCGGGUUGUAAACCGCUUUCGCCUGUGACGAAGCGUGAGUGACGGUAAUGGGUAAAGAAGCACCGGCUAACUACGUG